CUGUGCUUUGUAAUAAGAUAAUGGUGUUAUUACAGAGCACAGUGUGUACACUAACACCAUUAUCUUAUUACAGAGCACAGU
This 81-nucleotide microRNA precursor is filed under the name Pelobates cultripes (western spadefoot toad). Lineage: Eukaryota; Metazoa; Chordata; Amphibia; Anura; Pelobatidae. The record is from RNAcentral.